This 253-nucleotide ribosomal RNA is filed under the name uncultured bacterium. Its description in RNAcentral is "partial 16S ribosomal RNA". It matches the Rfam family "Bacterial small subunit ribosomal RNA", at positions 524 to 776 of the family's 1533-position model. The record is from RNAcentral.
UACGAAGGGGGCUAGCGUUGCUCGGAUUGACUGGGCGUAAAGGGUGCGUAGGCGGCGCGGUAAGUCGGGUGUGAAAUCUCGGAGCUUAACUCCGAAACUGCAUUCGAUACUGCCGUGCUUGAGGACUGGAGAGGAGACUGGAAUUUACGGUGUAGCGGUGAAAUGCGUAGAUAUCGUAAGGAAGACCAGUGGCGAAGGCGGGUCUCUGGACAGUUCCUGACGCUGAGGCGCGAAAGCGUGGGGAUCAAACAGG